Molecule: ribosomal RNA, 722 nt
Filed under: Paenibacillus sp.
Lineage: Bacteria; Bacillati; Bacillota; Bacilli; Caryophanales; Paenibacillaceae
Description: bacterial SSU rRNA
Rfam family: Bacterial small subunit ribosomal RNA
Source: RNAcentral
GCCCAUAAGACUGGGAUAACUACCGGAAACGGUAGCUAAUACCGGAUAGGUUCUUCUCUCGCAUGGGAGAGGAAAGAAAGACGGAGCAAUCUGUCACUUAUGGAUGGACCUGCGGCGCAUUAGCUAGUUGGUGGGGUAACGGCUCACCAAGGCGACGAUGCGUAGCCGACCUGAGAGGGUGAUCGGCCACACUGGGACUGAGACACGGCCCAGACUCCUACGGGAGGCAGCAGUAGGGAAUCUUCCGCAAUGGGCGAAAGCCUGACGGAGCAACGCCGCGUGAGUGAUGAAGGUUUUCGGAUCGUAAAGCUCUGUUGCCAGGGAAGAACGUCUCUUAGAGUAACUGCUAAGAGAGUGACGGUACCUGAGAAGAAAGCCCCGGCUAACUACGUGCCAGCAGCCGCGGUAAUACGUAGGGGGCAAGCGUUGUCCGGAAUUAUUGGGCGUAAAGCGCGCGCAGGCGGUCAUUUAAGUUGGGUGUUUAACCCCAGGGCUCAACCCUGGGUCGCACCCAAAACUGGAUGACUUGAGUGCAAAAGAAGAGAGUGGAAUUCCACGUGUAGCGGUGAAAUGCGUAAAGAUGUGGAGGAACACCAGUGGCAAAAGCGACUCUCUGGGCUGUAACUGACGCUGAGGCGCGAAAGCGUGGGGAGCAAACAGGAUUAUAUACCCUGGUACUCCACGCCGUAAACGAUGAAUGCUACGUGUUAGGGGGUUUCCAU